CUCGGUGUAGGCAUUAAACAAAGUAAACUAAAAACGAAGCUAACAAGAUAAAUGAAAUCAACCAAAAUAAAAAUCCCAUGCUACAUUCUAGAAGAAAAGAAAUAAGUUAAUAUCUAGCAUUCCUAAGAUUCAACACAUUGCCGCUUUCUCCUCAUCAAAAGUAAAGGCAUGCUUCAUUGAAAGGAAAAUAAAAAAAAAAUGUAAAAGAAAGAAAAUGGUGCAGCACUCAAAGAAAUAAAAAAUGUUUCAAAAGGAAACCUCCCAUCAGCCGUGAAUGCUUCCC
RNAcentral lists this long non-coding RNA (283 nucleotides) under Vigna radiata. RNAcentral describes it as "long non-coding RNA (VRAD_LNC011130)". Lineage: Eukaryota; Viridiplantae; Streptophyta; Magnoliopsida; Fabales; Fabaceae. The record is from RNAcentral.